GUUUGAUCAUGGCUCAGGAUGAACGCUGGCGGCGUGCCUAAUACAUGCAAGUCGAACGGAGACAUUGUAGCAAUACGAUGUUCUUAGUGGCGAACGGGUGAGUAACGCGUUGAUGACCUGCCCCGAAGAGGGGGAUAACAGUCCGAAAGGACUGCUAAUACCCCAUGUGGUCUCAGGGAUUAGAUGCCCUGAGUCUAAAGGAGUAAUCCACUUUGGGAGGGACCUGCGUCCCAUCAGCUAGUUGGUAAGGUAACGGCCUACCAAGGCUUCGACGGGUAGGGGACCUGAGAGGGUGGCCCCCCACAAUGGAACUGAAACACGGUCCAUACACCUACGGGUGGCAGCAGUAGGGAAUAUUGGUAAUGGGCGAAAGCCCGAACCAGCAACGCCGCGUGUGCGAUGAAGGCCUUCGGGUCGUAAAGCACUUUUUGAGAAGAUGAUGAAGGACAGUACUCUCAGAAUAAGUCUCGGCUAACUACGUGCCAGCAGCAGCGGUAACACGUAGGAGACAAGCGUUAUCCGGAUUUACUGGGCGUAAAGCGCGUGCAGGCGGUUUGGAAAGUUGGAUGUGAAAGCUCCUGGCUUAACUGGGAGAGGUCAUUCAAAACUACCAGACUCGAGAGUGGUAGAGGAAGGUGGAAUUCCGGGUGUAGUGGUGAAAUGCGUAGAUAUCCGGAGGAACACCAGUGGCGAAAGCGGCCUUCUGGACCAUUUCUGACGCUCAGACGCGAAAGCUAGGGUAGCAAACGGGAUUAGAGACCCCGGUAGUCCUAGCCGUAAACUAUGUUGACUUGGCGUUGGUGGGUUAAUAUCCACCAGUGCCGUAGCUAACGCGAUAAGUCAACCGCCUGGGGACUACGAUCGCAAGAUUAAAACUCAA
This 880-nucleotide ribosomal RNA is filed under the name uncultured bacterium. RNAcentral's name for it is "bacterial SSU rRNA". It matches the Rfam family "Bacterial small subunit ribosomal RNA", at positions 11 to 904 of the family's 1533-position model. The record is from RNAcentral.